CAGUGUCGUGGCUCUGCCUACCCCGCGAACCCUACCCCUCGUCGUUGCCUCGGCGGGCGCUCCCCGCCGCAGGCCCUAGCAAACACGCACCGUAACGCUCGGCGCUCCUUCUGAAAGCACGAUUUUUUAAACGAGUAAAAACUUUUGGCAACGGAUCUCUUGGCUCUGGCAUCGAUGAAGAACGCAGCGAAAUGCGAUACGUAGUGUGAAUUGCAGAAUUCAGUGAACCAUCGAAUCUUUGAACGCACCUUGCGGCCGCCGGCAAUCCGGCGGCCAUGCCCGUCCGAGCGUCGUUUCGACCCUCGGGACCCCACCCCCCUCUCGCAGGGGGGCGGGGCCCCGGCUUUGGGCUAGCGCGCGCCGCCUCCACUGGCGCGCGCGGCCCGCAGACCAUCGGCGGCAGCGCCCGCGACGUCCCUUGCGCAGUAGCUAAAGCUCGCACCGGACUCCUGGCGCCGCCCGCCCUCGACGGCCCCAGCGACCGCCACACACGACAGGUCGACCUCGGAUCGGGUAGGGAUACCCGCUAAACUUAAGCAUAUCAGUCAGCGGAGGA
This 556-nucleotide ribosomal RNA is filed under the name Echinusitheca citrispora. Its description in RNAcentral is "eukaryotic LSU rRNA". The stretch from base 140 to 293 matches the Rfam family "5.8S ribosomal RNA". The record is from RNAcentral. Lineage: Eukaryota; Fungi; Ascomycota; Sordariomycetes; Coronophorales; Ceratostomataceae.